Molecule: long non-coding RNA, 349 nt
Organism: Paramacrobiotus metropolitanus
Lineage: Eukaryota; Metazoa; Tardigrada; Eutardigrada; Parachela; Macrobiotidae
Exons: 3
Source: RefSeq, a predicted model, not a curated record
CUUGGGAAUAUGCAUCGGGCCGACUGAAGACUUAUUGUUCAGCUGCACUCUCGCUUGUGUGAGUUCACGCUGUAGAGAGUCUUCCGCAUCUUUAGCCCGUUUCUUUUCAUCUUCCAAAUCUUUGAUGCGAUGAGCGUGCGGAGACUUUGGAUCAAUACGGGCAUAGUUUGCCGGACUAUCAAGCCCACGUCCUGGUCAGUUUCUGCCGCAGCUAACUGCUCAUCGACUUCCCUAGCUUGAAUCCCUCAGAAAUAUCCGCUUUAUCCGCAGCCGCCAACGCUAUCAAAUUAUUGUCCGACUGGGACGACUGAGGUUCUGUUUGGCUCUCAGCCACACUUGGGGUUUCCGA